This 436-nucleotide long non-coding RNA is filed under the name Parus major (Great Tit). Its description in RNAcentral is "lncRNA (ENSPMJG00000009783.1)". Lineage: Eukaryota; Metazoa; Chordata; Aves; Passeriformes; Paridae. The record is from RNAcentral.
AUUUUUAGCAUGCCGUCAACGUGCAUGUGAGGACGUGUGUGCUGUGAGAGCAUGUGGUGCAGAGGCCACAUCCCUGUGAUUUAUCAGCUAUCCUCACCCUUGCAGGUGGACCUGGAGAGACCCACUCUGACCUGCUCCAGCACUGCAGGGAAACCUGUCGUUUGCAAGAGGAUGUUCAGUUCACAACCACGGGGAGAUACAUGUCUGGAAGAGAAGAGCCAGCUAUCUGCCAAAGCCAUCAGCCUGCAAGCGCUCGCAGGAACUCGUGUGCUCUCCCUGCUGAUCUUGCUGGUUUAGUAAGGAAAAGCAGUCCUGGCUGCAGAGGAUGUCUGGUGCUCACAGGAGGGACAAAGCAGAUCCAAAACUGUAGGUAAGGAGGUCACUUGCUGGGGAAAAAUGGGGGGAGGUGAGUGGUUUAAAUGAUCUUAAAACCAGC